GGCACUUGGGGUUCACAGCAGCCUCCUCUGGUUCCCUGAGAAGCACAUGCCAAGGAGAAUUCAAUACGGGAGAUUUAUUGAGGGAGAUGCCUGGGAGGAAAGAUGGCGGGGUCGCCAGACAAGGCUAGGAGAACCGUCAGACCACCAUGCAGGUCGGAAUCCAGGGAAGGAAAGAGGGAAGAAAGGAGGUUGGGUAGGAAGAUUGUCAGCCUGCAGUACAUUUUAACGAAGUUUCAGCAGGACCAAUGAGGCGUCUGUCUUAGUUCCAGAUGCUAUAACAAGACACCAUAGACGGGGGGCCUCAAAUAACAGAGACUUAUUUCUCACAGUUCUUGAAACCAGCAAGUCCAAGAUUAAGUUUCCAGCAGGUUCUAAAUCUGGUGAGAGCCCUCUUCCUGGUUUGCAGACAGCCACUGAUAGAAAGGUCAUCUCUCAGGUGUCCCCUCUUAUAAGGGCACUAAUCCCAUUCAUGAGUGCUCCAUCCUCAGGACCUAACCACCUCCCAAAGGCCCCACCUCCUCACACCAUCACAUUGGGGGUUAAGGCGCCAACACAUGAAUUUUGGGGGCACACAAAUUUGGGGGCAUGCGAGGAGUCCCACGUGUCUCAGAAGCAGUCCUGCCUUAGCAUCCCAGCCAUGCUUGGCCAUUGGUGGGGCAUCCAUGGGAGCAUGGACAUGCUGGACUGUGGUGGUGGAUUCAGAGCACAGCAGCUGGGGUGUCAGUCCAUUACACUUCCCCAGUAGGAGAUCUGAGAGGCACAAGUUCAACGCCAACACAUAGGCCCUCCUUUAUUUUAAAAAUGUAAAAACUCUCCUUAACUCAAGGGCUGUACAAAAACAGAAGGCAGGCUGGAUUUGGCCCAUGGCCCAGAGUUUGCUGACCCCUGGUUUAAGUUACAAGUUAAGGUUUAUAUUGCUUGCAGACAAAACCCUCCUAACUUCUACAAGGGGUAAGUACCACUGACACAGGGAUGCUGACUUAGGGAUGCUUGUCAUCCUAAUUCCCAUCGAAAUUGGUCCAUCGACAUUCAGGCUCACAAAUCUGCAGACCCUAUCUUACUUUCCUUCUUGCUUGCAUGAAAGAAUGGGUAUUUUCCUUUUCCUCUCAUCCUCUCCUCACCUCUUGAAGCUCCUAACUUAAGGUUAAGGUAAUGGGUAUGGGGUGGGGGCAGGGCUUCUGUAACAGAAGUCAGACCUGCAAAGAGAAAUAGAAUCUUACAGUUUAAUAAGGUAUGGGGGGCUCGCUAGCAAGAAUCAAAGAUCUGAUUGUCUUUUAGAUACUUCCCCACUGCCCCACUUCCCGGCCAGACCAGAAAGGUCACUUACUUUUGCCUCCAACAUACUAACACACACACACACACAAACACAUACACAUACUCCUAACUGAGGAAAUGAAUGGAGCAGAGAAUGGUUGAUAAACUUAAUCUUCAUGGGGGCAGAAGUCGUGUUGGACACCAAGGAGAUGGGGCCUUGAGGGAAAAAAAAGGUAAAAAGAAUUAAAUUGGAGGGAGGGAAGAAAGAGAAUGAGAGAUUGUGGAAGGAAGAGAGUGUGGGGUACUUCACCCCAGAUUUGGUCAAGUGGUGCACCCCCAAGGUCCAGGGCAGGGCCAAGACUCAUGGGAGAUCUCAGAGACAAGUUGGAAAGACCAGAGGAGCCAUUCCUGAAUCUCCACCUCAAGGUAGACUCUGCAAGGGCUGGACUAGACCACCUGAAGCUGCUGGGAAGGACAACCGAACAUUUCCAAGAUCCUACGUAGGCAUCACAGGCUAGACCGUUCUGCCCUGGACUGGACUGCUUCCGCUCCAGGAGAACAAGCGCUGUGCUGGGGUUACCCAGGUUAGUGGAGCAGCCAUUUAUCCAUGUGUAGUCCUCGACAAAAUUAAGGGGGCCAUGCCAAGGAUUUCUAAGGAAUCUUUAACAGAGACUGAGAGUAAUUUCUAAUAUUCCAGGUCUGUUCUCAUAUUUCUAAUUAUAACUUUGGGUUAUUAAAAUUUUUCUAUCACCAACAGACACUAGUAUUUAGGAGGCAGCUUAACUUCCUCAGCAGUUCAGGAGAUCGCAGAUCCAGAAACUUUUCCCAGAGAAUUUGGAUGAGGAUUGCUGGUGAACAUGAAAAGUGCAUGGUGAGAAGGGCAGUGGAUUGUCCUUCCCCAUUUCAUCAAGAUUUUAAAGGGGAAAACCCUGACUUAGUGACCACCUGUGGGGGCAAUGCCAUUCAUCUUGGUAUUAGCCUGCUGUGUUAGUCAGGAUUCUUGGGUGGCAGGCGAAAAUAAAGCCCCAGUGUAAACCAGCUUUAAUGAAAGGCAGGAAUGUGUUGGUUCACGUAACCAGACUGGGAGGAGAACAGGGCUGGGCUCCUUGCCGGAGUGGCUGGAACAAGGGUCUGCAACGCCAUCAGGAUUCUUGCUUUCUCGUCUCCUCUUUUCCCUGUGCCUUUGCUCCAUUGUUUUCAGACUAAACUUUUCAUGAGACAUCAUAGGGGGCAUGGCCACUAGUGGAUCCUGCUGCAUAUCCUCAGACUUCCUAACCAAAGGAGAAAAUCGUUCCGCUCUCCCAGAUCUAGUUUAAAAGUCCCCAUGGAAGACAGUGGUUGGCAAGGUUUCCUGUGCCCACUCCUGGGAUCAAUUUGUUGCACGAAGGGGCAUGGAAAUACCAUGAAUGUAGCCAGGAGGGUGGAAUCUGUUAAUAAAACAACGAGGGAAAUGGAGCUGGGCAGUCUGAACAGAUGAUGUGUCCCACAUCUCCCUUCUUCUGGGAACUGUUCCCUCCUCCCGCAUCCAGAGGAGGGAAGACUGAUCCCGCCCCUUUGCCACCCUGAUUGUCAGAUAUGGGCAUCUGCUGGUCCAUGGGAAUCCUCUCCCAGGAAUUAAGAACUGGGGUUCGGAGAUACCAGCUCAGUAUGCAGCUUGCUUGUACUGAGGAGAUGUUGAAGGAGCCAUUUCUUCACCAUCAGGAUGGGAGGGCUGGGAAACAAAAAGAGCUGGGCUGCA
RNAcentral lists this long non-coding RNA (2992 nucleotides) under Equus caballus (horse). RNAcentral's name for it is "lncRNA (ENSECAG00000045339.1)". Lineage: Eukaryota; Metazoa; Chordata; Mammalia; Perissodactyla; Equidae. The record is from RNAcentral.